AAUCAACGCGGCGGCGUGCUAACACAUGCAAGUCGAACGAGAAAGUGGAGCAAUCCAUGAGUAAAGUGGCGACCGGGUGAGUAACACGUGACUAACCUACCUUCGAGUGGGGGAUAACCUCGGGAAACCGGGGCUAAUACCGCAUAACAUCUUUGAAGUGGAAAUUUCGGAGAUCAAAGGAGCAAUUCGCUGGAAGAGGGGGUCGCGGCUGAUUAGCUAGUUGGCGGGGUAACGGCCCACCAAGGCUUAGAUCGGUAGCCGGCCUGAGAGGGCGCACGGCCACACUGGAACUGAAACACGGUCCAGACUCCUACGGGAGGCAGCAGUGGGGAAUUUUGCGCAAUGGGGGAAACCCUGACGCAGCAACGCCGCGUGGAGGAUGAAGUCCCUUGGGACGUAAACUCCUUUCGACCCGGACGAUAAUGACGGUACGGGUGGAAGAAGCCCCGGCUAACUUCGUGCCAGCAGCCGCGGUAAUACGAGGGGGGCAAGCGUUGUUCGGAAUUAUUGGGCGUAAAGGGCGCGUAGGCGGUGCGGUAAGUCACCUGUGAAACCUCUAGGCUUAACCUAGAGCCUGCAGGCGAAACUGCCG
Molecule: ribosomal RNA, 592 nt
Filed under: uncultured bacterium
Lineage: Bacteria
Description: bacterial SSU rRNA
Rfam family: Bacterial small subunit ribosomal RNA
Source: RNAcentral